RNAcentral lists this ribosomal RNA (257 nucleotides) under uncultured bacterium. RNAcentral describes it as "partial 16S ribosomal RNA". It matches the Rfam family "Bacterial small subunit ribosomal RNA", at positions 524 to 777 of the family's 1533-position model. The record is from RNAcentral.
UACGAAGGGGGCUAGCGUUGCUCGGAAUCACUGGGCGUAAAGGGUGCGUAGGCGGGUCUUUAAGUCAGGGGUGAAAUCCUGGAGCUCAACUCCAGAACUGCCUUUGAUACUGAGGAUCUUGAGUUCGGGAGAGGUGAGUGGGAACUGCGAGUGUAGAGGGUGAAAUUCGUAGAUAUUCGCAAGAACACCAGUGGCGAAGGCGGCUCACUGGCCCCGAUACUGACGCUGAGGCACGAAAGCGUGGGGAGCAAACAGGG